AAAGCACGUGUUUUGGCGUGCUUGUGAACGUUUUUUCCAAAUAUCAAUCCGCGUGGAGUGUGCCGCCGCAGGUUACAGUUUACAGCUGAGCUGCGGCACUCCGGCCGGGCUAAAGCGGAGCGAGCCCAACCGUGCCAGGCACAGUGAACUUCUCCCCCCCUCCUUUAGUCCGGUGGUGUUUUUGUUACGGUCCACGAGGCCGAACAAGGUAAACAGUUUCUACUCGCUGGCUGGAACUAAGCAAACAGGUGGAGCGAUAGCAGACACAGUCACUGAAAGACGCACAAUGAAGCCAACCAGGCCUUGAGAUGGCUUCUGAGAGGAGAAUACAAAGGGCCACGAGCCAGCCCGAGCCCCGGGACCCUGCUGGUGAAGGAGGCAGGGAUAAUGCGGUCCAUCCCGGGGGCCGCAUUUCAACACAUGGACCUGGCUUUGUGCUCCGGCAGCACGAGAACCCUUCAGAACGGCGGGGACACACGCCCAGCGGAGGGGAGGAUGCCUGACGACGGGAGGAUAAAGGAGACAUUGGGGUGGGGGGGGGAGUGAGGCAGCACAAAAAAGGCCCAAAUGUUGUUCCUCGUGCUGUGAACAUAUGGCUGUUUGUUGUCAUACUCUUCCUCCCUGUCCAAUUUACACGGAGCGAGUGAGCUUCGAGUAGGCCUCUACCUGAAUGAUGAUGAGGAGGCCCGAACGCUGCUAAUGGCCGGCGUAUAAUCCCCCGCCGUCUGCACACACCUCCUGACAUAUGGUCACUCCUCAGCCUCUGCCGUUACGUAAGCGCCACAGAGAUGGGUGAGGGAGGCAGGAGGAGGGGGGCGGUUGCGGUGAAAUGUGGCACUUUCUCACCCAGAGCGGCCGCUCUGUCGGGCCCGGCUGCUCUGCGCUCUCAGCGGUUUGCGCUUUGCCCGUCACUCCUCUCCUCUCCUCUCCGCCCUGCCCCUUCUUCAGGGGUUUGUAAAGAAUAAAUUGGAGCUUCUGGGACGAGGAGCGCUCCGCUUCUCCGCGUACAGAUGGACCCCUCCAUUCAAUAAGCUCAAGCAGAAGUCUGUCCCCACGCCAUGCCAGAACCACAGAGCUUGUUUUGUCUUCUGAAGAGGGCAAUCUGUUGAUGCAACAUAUUGGGUUUUUUUUUUUUUCUUCUCCGGACGCUCCUUUUUGAUCGGAGCUCUGUCUGAAAUAUUGGGACACUCAGGUUUGAAUAACCUGCUUUUGCCAGAAUCACAUGUAGAAAUUGGACAGCCUGAAUGGAGCAAACUCUUGAGGUUUGUGCAAAAAUCUGGAGAAAAAGGCUCCAAAAUACAGAUAUAAUCCAAAUAAACUGCCAGGAAACAGUACGAAAACUUAGGAAAAACCAUCUUUUCUUGUCUAUUUAAAAAUGAAAUCUCUAUCAAUUAAAAGGCAUUCCAGUUAAAGUCAUUUUAAAAGUAAAAAUGUAGGAAAGAAGUCAAUAAGGACACAUUACCGUCUUCAACACAGGGAAUAAUGCAAUCCAAAUAAACCUCUUUUGAGUGAAUAGUUUCAUUUAUGACUGAUUUUGACAAUUUUUUAAUCUAUUGGUUCAAGAAAAUAAAAUUUUUAACUUUAAAAACUUAUAUAAACUUUAGCCAACAGCUUCCGUUACAUGUUACCCACAAGAUGUUAGAAAAGUGCCUGAUUUUUCUAUAAUGUGGUUAAAUUUAACACAUUAUUACGACUUAAAGUAUUCCUUUUUAUCCAAAUGCAAACACGUUUUCGCCAAUUUUCCGCCCUUUAGCUAUAUGGAAAGAGACCAAGCAGAAAUUGACAAAAUGCUGGAUGAAGAUGGCGACGAACAUGUGGUUCUAGUCGCAACUUUGGUUAUUGACCCCCUAGAGAAAAUAAUGAUCUUUUAACCUAAUUCACCUCAUUUAACAGGAGCAUAACAACAACCAUACACUACUGUUGAAAGUCUUGUAAGACCUGUACAAAAAAAUCACUUUUUUCUUUCAAUUUUAGCU
Long non-coding RNA from Oryzias melastigma (Indian medaka), 1976 nucleotides. RefSeq lists it as uncharacterized. The record is from RefSeq and is a predicted model, not a curated record. NCBI's taxonomy places the organism in Eukaryota, Metazoa, Chordata, Actinopteri, Beloniformes, Adrianichthyidae. The transcript is spliced from 3 exons.